This 419-nucleotide ribosomal RNA is filed under the name bacterium. RNAcentral's name for it is "partial 16S ribosomal RNA". It matches the Rfam family "Bacterial small subunit ribosomal RNA", at positions 355 to 776 of the family's 1533-position model. The record is from RNAcentral.
UGGGGGAUAUUGCACAAUGGGCGAAAGCCUGAUGCAGCGACGCCGCGUGGGGGAUGAAGGCCUUCGGGUUGUAAACUUCUUUUGCUCUGAACAAGGCGCACCAUGGGGUGUGUUGAGUGUAGGGGUUGAUUAGCGCCGGCUAACUACGUGCCAGCAGCCGCGGUAAUACGUAGGGCGCGCGCGUUGUCCGGAAUUAUUGGGCGUAAAGGGCUUGUAGGUGGCUGGUUGCGUCUGUCGUGAAAGCUCAUGGCUUAACUGUGGGUUUGCGGUGGGUACGGGCUGGCUUGAGUGCAGUAGGGGAGGCUGGAAUUCCUGGUGUAGCGGUGGAAUGCGCAGAUAUCAGGAGGAAUACCGGAGGCGAAGGCGGGUCUCUGGGCUGAUACUGACACUGAGGAGCGAAAGCAUGGGGAGCGAACAGG